Molecule: long non-coding RNA, 823 nt
Filed under: Homo sapiens (human)
Lineage: Eukaryota; Metazoa; Chordata; Mammalia; Primates; Hominidae
Description: non-protein coding lnc-UTP23-4:1
Source: RNAcentral
AAAUGUAAUCUCGUCUCUAACUUCGAAGAUUCAUGCAAGCAUCUUUCUCCUCACAGGCAGUAUGGAAAAGCAGGGUCAGACUUAAGCUCAUGCCACACGUUUUUCAUUCAGCACACUGUAAAGAGGAAUACUUGGGCCGGGCAUGGUGACGCAUGCCUGUAAUCCGAGCACUUUGGCAGGCCGAAGCGGGCGGAUCAGAGGUCAGGAGAUGGAGACCAUCCUGGCUAACAUGGUGAAACCCCGUCGCUACUAAAAAUACAAAAAAUUAGCUGGGCGUGGUGGUGGGCGCCUCAAAAUAUGAGGAUCUUUUAGAAAGUAAAGGCCAAGUUAAAAAAAAUUAGCUGCUAUUUUAAGUAAUAAGUAUUUAAGCUAAUUCACUACCAUCGAAAUGUGAUAUAGGCCCCAGAACAUGCAGGAACCAACCAUAUCAGACCACAAGCCUGAAUUAGUAUGACAGUAUUACUAAUGUAAAUGGCAAGGAAGAGAAAGGUUAAACAUACGAUGUUCAUCCUUCAGUCUUGGCUUAGAAGCCCCUUCUUUCUAGAAACGUACAGAGAUGCUCUUAUACAACCACUGGAGAGGGCCAAGAUGAAACUGGGCAGAAAGGAUCAAGUUCUUCCCAGAUGGAAGUCCUGCAGAUGUGAGGGCUUUUUCCAAAGUAUUUGAUUGAAAGUAGAAAAAACAGAGAGUGAAUUUUCUAAAAUAUAUCCACUGUAAAACUGUUCUUUAUGGAUCCCCCCUAAAGUGAAGAUCUAGAAUGAACACAGUUUUAAAGCAGUUUCCAAAAGACACGGUGAUUCUUCCCUUUCUUCAAUUAAUAUAA